This 305-nucleotide ribosomal RNA is filed under the name uncultured bacterium. RNAcentral describes it as "bacterial SSU rRNA". It matches the Rfam family "Bacterial small subunit ribosomal RNA", at positions 335 to 657 of the family's 1533-position model. The record is from RNAcentral.
UUUCCUACGGGACGCAGCAGUCGAGAAUCAUUCACAAUGGGGGAAACCCUGAUGCAGCAACGCCGCGUGAGUGAAGAAGUAUUUCGGUAUGUAAAGCUCUAUCAGCAGGGAAGAAAAUGACGGUACCUGAGUAAGAAGCCCCGGCUAACUACGUGCCAGCAGCCGCGGUAAUACGUAGGGGGCAAGCGUUAUCCGGAUUUACUGGGUGUAAAGGGAGCGUAGACGGCGAUGCAAGUCUGAAGUGAAAGCCCGGGGCUCAACCCCGGGACUGCUUUGGAAACUGUAUGGCUGGAUUGCUGGAGAGG